Molecule: signal recognition particle RNA, 89 nt
Filed under: Planctomycetota bacterium
Lineage: Bacteria; Pseudomonadati; Planctomycetota
Description: Planctomycetes bacterium (activated sludge metagenome) signal recognition particle sRNA small type
Rfam family: Bacterial small signal recognition particle RNA
About the family: The signal recognition particle (SRP) is a universally conserved ribonucleoprotein involved in the co-translational targeting of proteins to membranes.
Source: RNAcentral
UUCGGUGGGUGCGGCGUGACGCCGUGAACCUGGUCAGGCCGGAAACGGAGCAGCCAUAGCGGGCUGUUGCGGGUGCGCCCACCACCUAU